Molecule: RNA transcript, 1699 nt
Organism: Ahaetulla prasina
Lineage: Eukaryota; Metazoa; Chordata; Lepidosauria; Squamata; Colubridae
Gene: MNS1
Gene name: meiosis specific nuclear structural 1
Exons: 9
Source: RefSeq, a predicted model, not a curated record
CGGCACUCUGUCCUCUGCCGCCGCCCGGCUGCCCACUCCGCGCCUGGAACCCGCGAAGGGCGGCUUUUCGCGGCCAUGGCGCAAAAGCCGAGCCGACGGCAGCCCACCGCGGCGCAGCUGAUGGACCGCAAGCAGCAUGAGCUCUACUUCCAGCAGAUGCGGGAGUUGGAGCACCGCAAGAAGCUGGAGCGCGUCCACCAGCUGGAGGUGAUGUGGGAGGCCGAGGACCGCGUGCAGCAGAAGCGCGUCACGCGGCUGCUGCGGGAAGAGGAACACGAGCAGCGCCUGGAGGAGGCCGUGCGGAAGGCAGAAGAGAGUAAAAGGCUAAAAGACCUGGAAUUGGAGCAGGAAGAAAAACUGGCAACUGAAUUAGCAAGAUUAAACCAUGACAAACUUAAAGAUGAAAAAAUGAGGCAACAAAUCAAAGAAAAUAGUAUUGAACUGCGGGAACUAGAGAGGAAAUUGAAAUCUGCAUAUAUGAAUAAAGAAAGGGCUGUUCAGAUUGCUGAAAAAGAAGCUCUGAAAUAUGAAAAAAUGAAGGAGGAUGCAGAUAUCUACCAAGCAAUGAAGGAAGAGCAAGAAAGAGCAGCCAAGGCAGAGAAUGCUGUUGAAACGAGACGCAAUCAGGAGAAGUUGCUCUAUCAGCAAGAAUUGGAGAAACAGCUGGAGGAAGAGGAGAGGCGGAAGCAGGCUGCUUACAAGGAGUUCCUUAGAGAGAAACUCUUGAUUGAUGAAAUUGUGAGGAAGAUCUAUGAGGAAGAUGAAAAGGCAAGACAAGACAGACUAGAAAAAAAAAGAACCACGCAGAAAUUCAUUGAAGAAUUCAAAAAAGACCAGGCCUUGCGGAGGAGACGACAGCGUGAAGAGAUGGAAGAGGAAAACCAAAAGAUCAUGGAAUUUGCUAACAUGUGGCAGGAGAGAGAAGACAACCGAAUGGCAAAGAUUCAUGAAAAUGAGGAGAAAAAAAGAAAGCUCCAGCAAAUGCUUACAGAAGUUCUGAAAAAAGAGCAGCAGGAGAGAGAGGAACUUGAGCAAAUCCGAGCUGAGUUGCACUUUGAAGAACAGGCUGAAAUAGAGAGGAAGAAGGAGAUGGAAGAGCUGGAGAAGAGGAUCAGGCAGCGCCUAGAGCUCCGGAACUCCUAUGAAGAACAGCUGGCUUCAAGGAAGAUGCUGCUGCAGGCCUUGAAGGAAGAGGAGGCCACCUUUGGCCAGUCCAUGUUAGCCAAAUUUGCAGAUGAUGACCGUAUUGAGCAGAUGAAUGCUCAGAAACGAAGAAUGAAGCAACUGGAACAUAGGAGAGAGGUGGAGAAGCUGAUCCAAGAACGACGCAAACAGGUCAUCGCAGACAAGGAACGUGAACUAGAAGAAAGACAAAUAGAAGAAAGGAGGAGCGGAAUCGUUGCUGACAUUAUUGAGGAAGAGCGGCAGAAGCUUCUUAAAGAACAUGCAGUUAAACUGCUGGGGUAUCUUCCACGAGUAAGUCGAAGCAGGCUAAUGACCAAGUGGUAGGCUUGCUUGGACCAGAGCUGUGGUGGGUGGACAUUAGGCCCCAGCAGGAAGAGUGUGGGGAAUCCUUAAAGAUGAGCAAGAUGUUCACAUGCUUGGAGAAGAGUUCCGGCAAGCUUACCAAAAGAGGCCAGGGGACGGGUUCUCAGAAGUCAACUGAGUUUUCAUUGCUUCACCUGAAGAGCCCACCUAG